GACGGGGGCCCGCACAAGCGGAGGAACAUGUGGUUUAAUUCGAUGAUACGCGAGGAACCUUACCCGGGCUCGAACGGCAAGUGAAGAGAGCCAGAGAUGGUGACGCCCUUCGGGGCACUUGUCGAGGUGCUGCAUGGUUGUCGUCAGCUCGUGCCGUGAGGUGUCGGCUCAAGUGCCAUAACGAGCGCAACCCUUGCCGUCAGUUACCAUCACGUAGAGGUGGGGACUCUGGCGGGACUGCCACCGCAAGGUGAGAGGAAGGGGGGGAUGACGUCAAAUCAGCACGGCCCUUACGUCCGGGGCGACACACGUGUUACAAUGGUGGGUACAGAGGGAAGCCAUGUGGCGACACAGAGCGGAACCCAAAAACCCAUCUCAGUUCGGAUCGGAGUCUGCAACCCGACUCCGUGAAGCUGGAUUCGCUAGUAAUCGCGCAUCAGCCAUGGCGCGGUGAAUACGUUCCCGGGCCUUGUACACACCGCCCGUCAAGCCAUGAAAGCCGGGGGCGCCUGAAGUUCGUGACCGCGAGGAGCGACCUAGGGCGAAACUGGUAAUUGGGGCUAAGUCGUAACAAGGUAGCCGUACCGAAA
Molecule: ribosomal RNA, 590 nt
Filed under: uncultured bacterium
Lineage: Bacteria
Description: bacterial SSU rRNA
Rfam family: Bacterial small subunit ribosomal RNA
Source: RNAcentral